RNAcentral lists this ribosomal RNA (211 nucleotides) under uncultured bacterium. Its description in RNAcentral is "partial 16S ribosomal RNA". It matches the Rfam family "Bacterial small subunit ribosomal RNA", at positions 1289 to 1500 of the family's 1533-position model. The record is from RNAcentral.
CAGUUCGGAUUGAAGGCUGAAAUUCGCCUUCAUGAAGCCGGAAUUGCUAGUAAUGGCAGGUCAGCAUACUGCCGUGAAUACGUUCCCGGGCCCUUGUACACACCGCCCGUCACACCAUGGGAGUUGGGAAUACCCGAAGCCUGUGAGCUAACGUAAGAGGCAGCAGUCGAAGGUAGAAUCAAUGAUUGGGGUGAAGUCGUAACAAGGUAAC